AGAACUUACCAGAGCCAUGCGUAUGGUUUNGCCUUCGGGAACUCUGAGACACNGUGCUGCUNNGGCUGUCGUCAGCUCGUGUUGUGAAAUGUUGGGUUAAGUCCCGCAACGAGCGCAACCCUUAUCCGUUUGUUGCCAGCGGUUCGGCCGGGAACUCAAAGGAGACUGCCAGUGAUAAACUGGAGGAAGGUGGGGAUGACGUCAAGUCAUCAUGGCCCUUACGAGUAGGGCUACACACGUGCUACAAUGGCGCAUACAAAGAGAAGCGACCUCGGGAGAGCAAGCGGACCUCNNUAAAGUGCGUCGUAAUCCGGAUUGGAGUCUGCAACUCGACUCCAUGAAGUCGGAAUCGCUAGUAAUCGUAGAUCAGAAUGCUACGGUGAAUACGUUCCCGGG
This 396-nucleotide ribosomal RNA is filed under the name Enterobacter sp. LGI-P4RV. RNAcentral describes it as "bacterial SSU rRNA". It matches the Rfam family "Bacterial small subunit ribosomal RNA", at positions 990 to 1378 of the family's 1533-position model. The record is from RNAcentral. Lineage: Bacteria; Pseudomonadati; Pseudomonadota; Gammaproteobacteria; Enterobacterales; Enterobacteriaceae.